CCUACGGGAGGCAGCAGUGGGGAAUCUUGCGCAAUGGGCGAAAGCCUGACGCAGCAACGCCGCGUGCGGGAAGAAGGCUCUCGGGUUGUAAACCGCUUUCAGCAGGAACGAAAAUGACGGUACCUGCAGAAGAAGGUGCGGCCAACUACGUGCCAGCAGCCGCGGUGACACGUAGGCACCAAGCGUUGUCCGGAUUUAUUGGGCGUAAAGAGCUCGUAGGCGGUUCGGUAAGUCGGGUGUGAAAACUUUGGGCUUAACCCAAAGCGUGCACCCGAUACUGCUGUGACUAGAGUUCGGUAGGGGAGUGGGGAAUUCCUAGUGUAGCGGUGAAAUGCGCAGAUAUUAGGAGGAACACCGGUGGCGAAGGCGCCGCUCUGGGCCGAUACUGACGCUGAGGAGCGAAAGCGUGGGUAGCAAACAGGAUUAGAUACCCUGGUAGU
RNAcentral lists this ribosomal RNA (440 nucleotides) under Ilumatobacter fluminis. RNAcentral describes it as "bacterial SSU rRNA". It matches the Rfam family "Bacterial small subunit ribosomal RNA", at positions 338 to 794 of the family's 1533-position model. The record is from RNAcentral. Lineage: Bacteria; Bacillati; Actinomycetota; Acidimicrobiia; Acidimicrobiales; Ilumatobacteraceae.